Molecule: long non-coding RNA, 3748 nt
Organism: Herpailurus yagouaroundi (jaguarundi)
Lineage: Eukaryota; Metazoa; Chordata; Mammalia; Carnivora; Felidae
Exons: 2
Source: RefSeq, a predicted model, not a curated record
AGCACAGAGCCCGACGAGGGUCUCAAAUUCAUGAACGUCGAAAUUGUGACCUGAGCCCAAGUCGGACCAUUAACCAACUGAACCACCCAGGCGCCCCUGCCUCUUCAUUCUUGAAGCAGGGAGAAAACUGACCUUGGCUCUCAUCUGGGAGAGAGCGGGUCCGUAACGGGCACCUCACGCCCUCGGAAACCACGUCUUCUCUGGGCAACAUGCCAGUUGUAGAUUAGCUUACUAGGUCCAAAGGAGCGAGGGUACCUAACAGUGAAGUAACUGACAGCGUCCUGGGUAGCUGGGCGGGCCCAGCCAAACCCUCUUGCCCGCCAGCAGGCAAGAGGCUCCCAGGCACUCAGCAUGAUGUGUUUCUCGACCCCAGAGCAGGUCUCCUGACCACCUCUCCAGAGGUGAAAUGUGCCUUCUGUGUUCGCCUGAGGACCUGUGCAGUGUAUGUAUGUUCAGUAGGAUUUUGUAACUGUAUGUAAUUUUUUUUUUUUUUACACAACAGUAGCUUCUUUAAAUGGCCUUUCCUGUGACCCAAGAGGCCUCAUGAAUGAGCCAGACGUGGACCCAUGUCUUGGGCAUUUGUAACCUUUGUUCUUCUCUUGCAUGUGAAAAAAGCCAUAAUGGAUUAAACCAGACUACCUGCUUGGAGUGUAUGUGUUUGAAAACCCCUCACACUCCCCAGAGCAUGCGGUCCAGGGUCACGCUUCAGCACAGACUGGGCACGUACACGGAAACUGACAGAAGGUUCAGGAACUUGCCCAAAUCAUCAUGGCCCCUUUGAGGAGGGCCUCUCACUUAUCUAUCAGGAUAACCACCCACGGCACCUCUGAGAUAGCCAGAACCUGGGCCUCUCGUGGUUUGGAAACUGGUCGCACGAGGGACCCCACACUUGAAGACUGGGAGAGCGCCGGGUCGGCAUUUGGCCCAGGUAUCCUGCCCCAGCUUUGACACACGUUCUGAAAAUACAUCCGAAAGCUGAUGUGCAGAAACCGAGAGGGAUACACGGUGGGACCUUGCCUGCCCAGCUCAGCCAGCCAGGCUGCCUGUCAACACCCAUACCCCGGCCUGUGCCACGGAGGUGGGCUGUGUUUAGCCACCACCUCACAAGCUUGUUUCGGGAACUAGGUCCGCGGCCUUUGAAGGGACGGGAGGGAAGUCGGAGCGAGGAGACAAUGCCAUUUUUACAUGUCCAUUUAUUAAACAAGAACUCCUUCGUGACAAUUUAAUACAAUAUUUAUUAACGAUUAGUGCUGAGAAAAUUAUUUCCCUCUACAUACAAAAAUACAGAUUUGAACACUAUGAAAACAAUCAGGACGAGUACCAUGAAAAAUAGGUCCUUCAAAAGAAAUAAAGGGGCAAAACUGAGGGCAACGUGAGGCUCUGUCUGCUGUCGGGGACAAACCCACAGGAGCAAAGGCUUUGGGGCCCCAACACCACUCCAAAUGGAUAGAGUCAAACCUACAAGCCAGGGUUUGAGAAGCCAGGAAAGCCACCAACAGCACAAACCAAAGUUUGCCAAAUGGGCAUCACCUCAGAAUGCCCCACAGCUGUGCCUAAAUGAUUAAAGGAAAAAGACUUCUAAGAAGCAAAAUGUAAUCGUUACUAAGUUAACAUUGCCCCCCAGAAGUGCCACCCGGCCAAGUACCAAUGAAUAAUCAUAUUGGAGCUAUUAGCCAUCUGAUUUCAUUUCCUUUGUUAAAAUAAUGACAUCUUCUGGCCCUUCCAAAGGACAAAAAAGAAGCUACAGUUUGAGUAAAUCCAUUCCUUCAUUUUGCAGUGGCUCAGCUAGUUCACUCAAAGAAUUUUCUUCACACAGAACUCGCGUCCUAUAGAUAUGGGAGGGGUGGGAAAGCCAACAGAGCAGCUAGAGCGUUAUCUAAUGUCAGCAAGCUCCUCAUAGCAGGGAGUCUAUUUUGUCCCAGCGCAAAACCAGAAAGGGCCACGGAGCCCACCCCGGGGAGUCCACAAACCAAAGUCAGUGGAGGCCCCUUGGGCAGCCCCUCUCUCCCAGGCAGGGCUGGAGGUGGGCCUGAGCUGGUCCUCUGCUUCACCAGCCCGCCAGCAAGGGAGAUCUUCACUGUGUCAGACCUAAAGGGGAAAAUCAGAGCGCCACGGAUGUUCCAUGCUUAUCCUUUCUACAGAACCACUUUCCUCUUACCGUUUGAGGCGAGCAGUGGCUCUCCCUAACUGAACAAGUGGUUUAAAAAUGCCAAAUGCAGUUAUACUGAUUAAUUAUUUCACAGAAAUAUACGCUUACUCUCAGACUGUUGAAAUAAGCAGAAACAAGUCAUUGGGGAGAAAGCAGCAGAGAGGAGACAGGAAGAGCCAAGGUGGGUGUGGUUUUUUCUCUUUUUUAAAAUACAUAACGAAGUUUAAAGGGAUAAUGUCUAAACCUCAAAGCCAUCAUUGCUAAAAGCAAUAUUAAAAGGACACGAUCUAACAUCAUGCUACAAAAAUAGUGUCAUCUGGUUUAACUAAAUGUACAUCUUUUUUUCAGUUCCAUGAUUGACAAGUGUUUAUGUGACUGACACACAGAAGGCACCGAAGGUGAAGUGAUUAUUAUUUGUCUUAAAAUAUACAAAGACAGAAUUACCUACUUCGGGGGAAAAAAAAUACAGUCAUACCUGUAAUAAAUAGUUAAGUGUUUUUGCCACGGGUUCCCGAACCCCUACAGAUUUCAACAUAUACAAAUAGUUUCGAUCCCUACAUUCUCUUAGAGGGAACCACAUCAAAAUCAAGUUAACAAAAGCAUUGGUUUUAUCCACAUAUGUCAGUUUCAUCAUAAGUCAGGAUUUGAAAACUCAUUUUUAAACGGGUUACAGAGUGAAGGAGCUGGAAGCAGUCAGCCCCCGUGCAGGUCUAGGCCAGCUUGGGGGUCCAUCUGGGCCUCCUGCCCUCGUCCUUCCCCACGAGCCAGCCUUCCCCCAGCCUUUGGACCAGCCAAUUCUCCCUUCAAGCUCUGAUUCUUUGCCUCCUUCACUUCUGCAGAAAGGGAAACUUGCGAAAUCAAUUCUGGAAAAGGCAGGAAAGCAAAAUGGCCCACCGAAGGAGGCAGGCAUCAGUUAGACCUGGCCCUGCUUGAUACAGGCACCAAAUGGGUCCCCACACUGUCCUCAUUUCCUGGUAACAGGAAAUGCUUUCUACUGGGGUUCAGCAGCGUUCUCCAGAGACAACUCCGACGUGACAGUUUUGGACUGAGUCCCAUACAAACCAGCACCCGAAUCAACUGUGUCCUACCUUCUCUGGCCUGAGGCACAAUUAUGAAAAGAAACCUCACCUCACCCUAAUCCUGUCAACAAAGCUGAUUAAGGUCAUUUGAGACCAGUUCCUACUGGAAAUUGGAACCAGAAAGGUUCUGACAGCCCACUAGAGUCCAGGCUAUUAACUCCUUAAUGAAGGCUCUCUGGCCUCUGCAUACAAUGCAUCCCAAGGAAAACCUGCCGCUCCAAGGUGUCUAGAUGAGCAAGCAGGUCACCCUAAUUAAAGUCUUGGCAUGAAAAUGCGGAAAACAAACUGACCCUAGGAACAAGAUGCACUAUUCAAGGAUCCAUAAGCUAAACUUUAUUUUAGGCAAGUUGCUGUUGCUUCAACCUCAGUGGGCUUGUAGGUAACUUUUUUCUUUAUUGUUACAUUUAUGGGAUAAGAAAAACCAGAGAGGGAAAAAAAAUCCCCAAGGUUCAGAAAUUGCACCGAAAUGGGACAGAAAUAUAAUCUAGACCAAAGAAGGAAGAACACAUCGGCCCCAUUC